Molecule: small nucleolar RNA, 106 nt
Organism: Malus domestica (apple)
Lineage: Eukaryota; Viridiplantae; Streptophyta; Magnoliopsida; Rosales; Rosaceae
Source: RefSeq, a predicted model, not a curated record
AUCUGAUGAUGUGGACAUUAUAGCAAAAACCCUUGAAACGCUCCUAACAUUCAUUGAAGGGUUCUCCAUCAUGUUGUGCAAAGUUGAACAUUUGGGCCCUAAACCC